RNAcentral lists this ribosomal RNA (469 nucleotides) under uncultured bacterium. RNAcentral's name for it is "partial 16S ribosomal RNA". It matches the Rfam family "Bacterial small subunit ribosomal RNA", at positions 28 to 523 of the family's 1533-position model. The record is from RNAcentral.
GAUAAACGCUGGCGGCGUGCCUUAUGCAUGCAAGUCGAACGGUCCUUCUUCGGAAGGGUAGUGGCGAACGGGUGAGUAACGCGUAAGUGACCUGCCGAGAAGUGGGGAAUAACUGGUCGAAAGAUCAGCUAAUACCGCAUGAGCUCCCUGGUGUAAAGGCUGGGGAGGAAAGCCGAAAGGCGCUUUUCGAGGGGCUUGCGUCCGAUUAGCUAGUUGGUGGGAUAAAGGCUCACCAAGGCGAUGAUCGGUAGCUGGUCUGAGAGGAUGAUCAGCCACACUGGGACUGCGACACGGCCCAGACUCCUACGGGAGGCAGCAGCAAGGAAUUUUGGCAAUGGGGGAAACCCUGACCCAGCAACGCCGCGUGGACGAUGAAGGCUUUCGGGUCGUAAAGUCCUUUUGUGGGGGACGAUAAUGACGGUACCCCACGAACAAGCCCCGGCUAACUACGUGCCAGCAGCCGCCGUAA